Molecule: ribosomal RNA, 537 nt
Filed under: Bifidobacterium pseudocatenulatum
Lineage: Bacteria; Bacillati; Actinomycetota; Actinomycetes; Bifidobacteriales; Bifidobacteriaceae
Description: bacterial SSU rRNA
Rfam family: Bacterial small subunit ribosomal RNA
Source: RNAcentral
GAAACGGGUGGUAAUGCCGGAUGCUCCGACUCCUCGCAUGGGGUGUCGGGAAAGAUUUCAUCGGUAUGGGAUGGGGUCGCGUCCUAUCAGGUAGUCGGCGGGGUAACGGCCCACCGAGCCUACGACGGGUAGCCGGCCUGAGAGGGCGACCGGCCACAUUGGGACUGAGAUACGGCCCAGACUCCUACGGGAGGCAGCAGUGGGGAAUAUUGCACAAUGGGCGCAAGCCUGAUGCAGCGACGCCGCGUGCGGGAUGACGGCCUUCGGGUUGUAAACCGCUUUUGAUCGGGAGCAAGCCUUCGGGUGAGUGUACCUUUCGAAUAAGCACCGGCUAACUACGUGCCAGCAGCCGCGGUAAUACGUAGGGUGCAAGCGUUAUCCGGAAUUAUUGGGCGUAAAGGGCUCGUAGGCGGUUCGUCGCGUCCGGUGUGAAAGUCCAUCGCUUAACGGUGGAUCUGCGCCGGGUACGGGCGGGCUGGAGUGCGGUAGGGGAGACUGGAAUUCCCGGUGUAACGGUGGAAUGUGUAGAUAUCGGAA